GAUAAACGCUGGCGGCGUGCAUGAGACAUGCAAGUCGAACGAGGGAUCGGGCUUGCUCGAUCCUUAGUGGCGGACGGCUGAGUAACGCGUAGGUGACCUACCCCGAAGUGGGGAAUAACUGCCCGAAAGGGUGGCUAAUACCGCAUGUGGUCGCACGUUCAUUCGUGCGAGUAAAGCCGCAAGGCGCUUCGGGAGGGGCCUGCGUCCGAUUAGCUCGUUGGUGGGGUAAUGGCUUACCAAGGCGACGAUCGGUAGGUGGUCUGAGAGGACGAUCACCCAGACUGGGACUGAGACACGGCCCAGACUCCUACGGGAGGCAGCGGUCGGGAAUUUUGCUCAAUGGGGGAAACCCUGAAGCAGCAACGCCGCGUGAGGGAUGAAGGCCUUCGGGUUGUAAACCUCUUUUGUCAGGGACGAUGAUGACGGUACCUGGCGAAUAAGCCACGGCUAACUACGUG
This 458-nucleotide ribosomal RNA is filed under the name uncultured bacterium. RNAcentral's name for it is "partial 16S ribosomal RNA". It matches the Rfam family "Bacterial small subunit ribosomal RNA", at positions 28 to 507 of the family's 1533-position model. The record is from RNAcentral.